RNAcentral lists this ribosomal RNA (253 nucleotides) under uncultured bacterium. RNAcentral describes it as "partial 16S ribosomal RNA". It matches the Rfam family "Bacterial small subunit ribosomal RNA", at positions 524 to 776 of the family's 1533-position model. The record is from RNAcentral.
UACGGGGGGGGCAAGCGUUGUUCGGAAUUACUGGGCGUAAAGGGCUCGUAGGCGGCCAACUAAGUCAGACGUGAAAUCCCCAGGCUCAACCUGGGAACUGCGUCUGAUACUGGAUGGCUUGAAUCCGGGAGAGGGAUGCAGAAUUCCAGGUGUAGCGGUGAAAUGCGUAGAUAUCGGAAGGAACGCCGGUGGCGAAAGCGACGUGCUGGAUCUCUUCUGACGCUGAGGCGCGAAAGCCAGGGGAGCAAACGGG